This 495-nucleotide ribosomal RNA is filed under the name Candidatus Vidania fulgoroideorum. Its description in RNAcentral is "bacterial SSU rRNA". It matches the Rfam family "Bacterial small subunit ribosomal RNA", at positions 789 to 1310 of the family's 1533-position model. The record is from RNAcentral. Lineage: Bacteria; Pseudomonadati; Pseudomonadota; Betaproteobacteria.
GGUAGUCCACGCCCUAAACGAUGUCAAUUAAUUUCUAGUUUUAGUUUUAAAGCUAACGCGUUAAAUUGACCGCCUGGGGAAUACGAUCGCAAGAUUAAAACUCAAAGGAAUUGACGGGGACCCGCACAAGCGGUGGAUGAUGUGGAUUAAUUCGAUGCAACACGAAGAACCUUACCUACCCUUGACAUGUAUAGAAUUUAAUCGAAAGAUUAAAGUGCCUAUAACACAGGUGCUGCAUGGCUGUCGUCAGCUCGUGUCGUGAGAUGUUGGGUUAAGUCCCAUAACGAGCGUAACCCUUUUUUUUUGUUGCUACAGCACUCAAAAAAGACUGCUUAUUUAAAUAAAUAAGAGGAAGGAAAGGACGACGUCAAGUCCUCAUGGCCCUUAUGGGUAGGGCUUCACACGUCAUACAAUGGUUAGUACAAAAAGUUAUAGCAAAUUUUAAAUUAUGAGCUAAUCUAUAAAACUAACCUCAGUUCGGAUUGUACCUUGAAA